Molecule: ribosomal RNA, 464 nt
Filed under: uncultured bacterium
Lineage: Bacteria
Description: bacterial SSU rRNA
Rfam family: Bacterial small subunit ribosomal RNA
Source: RNAcentral
CCUANGGGUGGCAGCAGUGGGGAAUAUUGGACAAUGGGCGAAAGCCUGAUCCAGCAAUACCGCGUGUGUGAAGAAGGCCUUAGGGUUGUAAAGCACUUUCAAUUGGGAGGAAAAAACAAUAGUUAAUACCUGUUGUCUUGACAUUACCUUUAGAAGAAGCACCGGCUAACUCCGUGCCAGCAGCCGCGGUAAUACGGAGGGUGCGAGCGUUAAUCGGAAUUACUGGGCGUAAAGAGUGCGUAGGCGGCUCGUUAAGUCAGAUGUGAAAGCCCUGGGCUCAACCUGGGAACUGCAUUUGAAACUGGCGAGCUAGAGUUGAGUAGAGGUAAGUGGAAUUUCAGGUGUAGCGGUGAAAUGCGUAGAUAUCUGAAGGAACACCAGUGGCGAAGGCGACUUACUGGACUCAAACUGACGCUGAGGUACGAAAGCGUGGGUAGCAAACAGGAUUAGAUACCCCUNUANUC